This 245-nucleotide ribosomal RNA is filed under the name uncultured bacterium. Its description in RNAcentral is "partial 16S ribosomal RNA". It matches the Rfam family "Bacterial small subunit ribosomal RNA", at positions 524 to 770 of the family's 1533-position model. The record is from RNAcentral.
GACAGAGGAUGCAAGCGUUAUCCGGAAUGAUUGGGCGUAAAGCGUCUGUAGGUGGCUUUUUAAGUCCGCCGCCAAAUCCCAGGGCUCAACCCUGGACAGGCGGUGGAAACUACCAAGCUGGAGUACGGUAGGGCAGAGGGAAUUUCCGGUGGAACGGUGAAAUGCGUAGAGAUCGGAAAGAACACCAACGGCGAAAGCAUCUGCUGGGCCGACACUGACACUGAGAGACGAAAGCUAGGGGAGCA